UACGUAGGGGGCUAGCGUUGUCCGGAUUUAUUGGGCGUAAAGAGCGUGUAGGCGGCCAGGUAGGUCCGCUGUGAAAACUCGAGGCUCAACCUCGAGCUGUCGGUGGAAACCGCGUGGCUAGAGUCCGGAAGAGGGGACUGGAAUUCCCGGUGUAGCGGUGGAAUGCGCAGAUAUCGGGAGGAACACCCGUGGCGAAGGCGGGUCCCUGGGACGGUACUGACGCUGAGACGCGAAAGCGUGGGGAGCGAACAGG
RNAcentral lists this ribosomal RNA (253 nucleotides) under uncultured bacterium. RNAcentral describes it as "partial 16S ribosomal RNA". It matches the Rfam family "Bacterial small subunit ribosomal RNA", at positions 524 to 776 of the family's 1533-position model. The record is from RNAcentral.